This 484-nucleotide ribosomal RNA is filed under the name uncultured bacterium. RNAcentral describes it as "partial 16S ribosomal RNA". It matches the Rfam family "Bacterial small subunit ribosomal RNA", at positions 30 to 507 of the family's 1533-position model. The record is from RNAcentral.
AUUGAACGCUGGCGGCAGGCCUAACACAUGCAAGUCGAGCGGAUGAAGGGAGCUUGCUCCUGGAUUCAGCGGCGGACGGGUGAGUAAUGCCUAGGAAUCUGCCUGUUAGUGGGGGAUAACGUCCUGAAACGGGCGCUAAUACCGCAUACGUCCUGAGGGAGAAAGUGGGGGAUCUUCGGACCUCACGCUAUCAGGUGAGCCUAGGUCGGAUUAGCUAGUUGGUGGGGUAAAGGCCUACCAAGGCGACGAUCCGUAACUGGUCUGAGAGGAUGAUCAGUCACACUGGAACUGAGACACGGUCCAGACUCCUACGGGAGGCAGCAGUGGGGAAUAUUGGACAAUGGGCGAAAGCCUGAUCCAGCCAUGCCGCGUGUGUGAAGAAGGUCUUCGGAUUGUAAAGCACUUUAAGUUGGGAGGAAGGGCAGUAAGUUAAUACCUUGCUGUUUUGACGUUACCAACAGAAUAAGCACCGGCUAACUUCGUG